Molecule: ribosomal RNA, 253 nt
Filed under: uncultured bacterium
Lineage: Bacteria
Also listed under: 1 other name
Description: partial 16S ribosomal RNA
Rfam family: Bacterial small subunit ribosomal RNA
Source: RNAcentral
UACGUAGGGCGCAAGCGUUGUCCGGAAUUAUUGGGCGUAAAGAGCUCGUAGGCGGUUUGUCGCGUCUGCUGUGAAAACCUCAGGCUCAACCUGGGGCUUGCAGUGGGUACGGGCAGACUAGAGUGCGGUAGGGGUGACUGGAAUUCCUGGUGUAGCGGUGGAAUGCGCAGAUAUCAGGAGGAACACCGAUGGCGAAGGCAGGUCACUGGGCCGCAACUGACGCUGAGGAGCGAAAGCAUGGGGAGCGAACAGG